UUCCGCUCUCCAGCUCCGUGCGAGGUGUUAAUACUCGGUGCGGCGUUUCAAUGAGCGAAUAGCAACGGGUUAGACGAUUAUUGGCACCUCUCUGUGGGCUGUCGAUCACUCAACUACUCGCACAUUC
This 127-nucleotide small nucleolar RNA is filed under the name Nippostrongylus brasiliensis. RNAcentral describes it as "Nematode snoRNA ceN36-1". It matches the Rfam family "Nematode snoRNA ceN36-1". The record is from Rfam by way of RNAcentral. Lineage: Eukaryota; Metazoa; Nematoda; Chromadorea; Rhabditida; Heligmosomidae.